RNAcentral lists this ribosomal RNA (253 nucleotides) under uncultured bacterium. RNAcentral describes it as "partial 16S ribosomal RNA". It matches the Rfam family "Bacterial small subunit ribosomal RNA", at positions 524 to 775 of the family's 1533-position model. The record is from RNAcentral.
UACGUAGGGUGCAAGCGUUAAUCGGAAUUACUGGGCGUAAAGCGUGCGCAGGCGGUUUUGUAAGUCUGUCGUGAAAUCCCCGGGCUCAACCUGGGAAUUGCGAUGGAGACUGCAAGGCUAGAAUCUGGCAGAGGGGGGUAGAAUUCCACGUGUGAGCAGUGAAAUGCGUAGAGGUGUGGAGGAACACCGAUGGCGAAGGCAGCCCCCUGGGUCAAGAUUGACGCUCAUGCACGAAAGCGUGGGGAGCAACAGG